RNAcentral lists this long non-coding RNA (444 nucleotides) under Bos taurus (domestic cattle). RNAcentral's name for it is "long non-coding RNA NONBTAT024054". The record is from RNAcentral. Lineage: Eukaryota; Metazoa; Chordata; Mammalia; Artiodactyla; Bovidae.
GCAGAGUCAAAUACAUGUUAUGUUCUUUUCCCAUUUCUAGUCACAGAUAAUGAAUUACCAUCAAUCUCUAACUUAUGUACUUCUAGAAGACAAAACUGUAGAUUCUUGCUUCCAUCAAAUGACAUAGUCACAAUAAUCCAUUGACAACUGCAGCAGAAGGGAAUUUUAGGGAGAACCACCAAAAUUGGCUAACUCUUCCAGUUGGAAUUCUGCUUUAGGAAAAAGGAGAUUUCUUCUGUAUUUGUGUAUAAUUGGUGUUUGUCAGGGCCCAGUUAGCCUCAUUUAUCUUGCUGGUUUCAACCAGUUAGGUAAUUUAUUUAUUCUUCCAUUUAUAUGUUUGUUAUUUAUUUUGCCAUUACUGUUUGAAGGAAAAGGAGGAGGAUCUCUUUAGACCAGUAUUUUUUGCUACUGUGGUUCUUUCCUGUUUCUGUACCAUUGACCCAU